CCUACGGGUGGCAGCAGUGAGGAAUAUUGGUCAAUGGGCGGAAGCCUGAACCAGCCAAGUAGCGUGCAGGAUGACGGCCCUACGGGUUGUAAACUGCUUUUAUACGGGAAUAACGCGCCUUACGUGUAGGGCUUUGCAUGUACCGUAUGAAUAAGGACCGGCUAAUUCCGUGCCAGCAGCCGCGGUAAUACGGAAGGUCCGGGCGUUAUCCGGAUUUAUUGGGUUUAAAGGGGGCGUAGGGCGCAUGUCAAGCGUGCUGGGAAAUGGCCGGGCUCAACCCGGGCCGUGCAGCGCGAACUGGCGUGCUUGAGUGCGCGGAAAGCAGGCGGAAUGCGUGGUGUAGCGGUGAAAUGCUUAGAUAUGACGAAGAACCCCGAUUGCGAAGGCAGCUUGCUGGAGCGGAACUGACGCUGAUGCACGAAAGCGCGGGUAUCGAACAGGAUUAGAUACCCGGGUAGUC
Molecule: ribosomal RNA, 460 nt
Filed under: uncultured bacterium
Lineage: Bacteria
Description: partial 16S ribosomal RNA
Rfam family: Bacterial small subunit ribosomal RNA
Source: RNAcentral